This 485-nucleotide ribosomal RNA is filed under the name uncultured bacterium. Its description in RNAcentral is "partial 16S ribosomal RNA". It matches the Rfam family "Bacterial small subunit ribosomal RNA", at positions 30 to 507 of the family's 1533-position model. The record is from RNAcentral.
AUUGAACGCUGGCGGCAGGCUUAACACAUGCAAGUCGAGCGGGGAAGAGUAGCUUGCUACUUUACCUAGCGGCGGACGGGUGAGUAAUGCUUAGGAAUCUGCCUAUUAGUGGGGGACAACAUCUCGAAAGGGAUGCUAAUACCGCAUACGUCCUACGGGAGAAAGCAGGGGACCUUCGGGCCUUGCGCUAAUAGAUGAGCCUAAGUCGGAUUAGCUAGUUGGUGGGGUAAAGGCCUACCAAGGCGACGAUCUGUAGCGGGUCUGAGAGGAUGAUCCGCCACACUGGGACUGAGACACGGCCCAGACUCCUACGGGAGGCAGCAGUGGGGAAUAUUGGACAAUAGGGGGAACCCUGAUCCAGCCAUGCCGCGUGUGUGAAGAAGGCCUUUUGGUUGUAAAGCACUUUAAGCGAGGAGGAGGCUACCGAGAUUAAUACUCUUGGAUAGUGGACGUUACUCGCAGAAUAAGCACCGGCUAACUCUGUG